CUAUAGGAUCCUAUAGGAAUUCCUAUAGGAAUUCCUAUAGGAAUUCCUAUAGGAAUUCUAUUCCUAUAGGAUCCUAUA
Paramuricea clavata is the source of this 78-nucleotide non-coding RNA. The record is from the annotation of a GenBank genome assembly. NCBI's taxonomy places the organism in Eukaryota, Metazoa, Cnidaria, Anthozoa, Malacalcyonacea, Plexauridae.